Molecule: ribosomal RNA, 497 nt
Filed under: uncultured bacterium
Lineage: Bacteria
Description: partial 16S ribosomal RNA
Rfam family: Bacterial small subunit ribosomal RNA
Source: RNAcentral
GAUGAACGCUGGCGGCGUGCCUAACACAUGCAAGUCGAGCGAACAGACGAGGAGCUUGCGCUUUUGUCGUUAGCGGCGCACGGGUGAGUAACACGUCGAUAACCCACCUAUAAGACUGGGAUAACUUCGGGAAACCGGAGCUAAAACCGGAUAAUAUUUUCAACCGCAGGGGUCAGUAGUGAAAGACGGUUUUCCUGUCACUUAUCCACGGACCACCGCGGCUUUAGCUAGUUGGUAAGGUAACGGCUUACCAAGGCAACGAUGCGUAGCCGACCUGAGAGGGUGAUCGGCCACACUGGAACUGAGACACGGUCCAGACUACUACGGGAGGCAGCAGUAGGGAAUCGUGCGCAAUGGGCGAAAGCCUGCCGCAGCACUGCCGAGUGCGUGAGGAAGGUCUUCGGAUCGUAAAACACUCUUAUUCGGGAAGAACAAAUCUGUCAGUAAAUAUGCACGUCUUGACGGUACCCAAUCAGAAAGCCGCGGCUAACUACGUG